AGAGUUGUUAGGAAAAAAAAAAUCAGGACCACAAUCGUAACACGUUAACCGUAUCUACUGUGGACAUACAGCUAAGUUGCUAAACUGAAACGUCUCUUCAUCGCCGCUGGUAGCAGGCUGCUAGCUAGCUAGCUAACCUGUCAUUUGCCGGUUUCCAUACAGGUUUGUGCUCUUCUGAACAAAAGCCUACAUUACUACAGAGGAGUAGAAUGCUACAGGUGAUGGUUUUACACUUUCUGACCCGGCAGAGGGAGCAACCGCUUCAUUUUGCAGAGCAGGACCACAGAGCGUCUGCAGCGGUCUGCAGGGGAAAAGUCUCCUCUGCUGAUCCUGGAUACUCAGUGGAGAGAAGACAGCCAACCCGUCCACUUCAGCGCGUAAAACACAGGCCCUGGGAUUCCCUGCAAGGUUCUGAAAACAGAAAAUAAACUAGAUCCAUGGUGUAGACUCACUUUGAAGCCCAUUUUCAAUGUAUAGACCAAAUGUAUCUAUUAAAGAUGAACAUCCAAUCUGAUUCAAAUGUGA
Long non-coding RNA from Stegastes partitus (bicolor damselfish), 525 nucleotides. RefSeq lists it as uncharacterized. The record is from RefSeq and is a predicted model, not a curated record. The transcript has 2 exons. Lineage: Eukaryota; Metazoa; Chordata; Actinopteri; Pomacentridae.